This is a long non-coding RNA of Neodiprion fabricii, 339 nucleotides long. RefSeq lists it as uncharacterized. The record is from RefSeq and is a predicted model, not a curated record. Lineage: Eukaryota; Metazoa; Arthropoda; Insecta; Hymenoptera; Diprionidae. The transcript has 3 exons.
CCUCUCUUCUCCGCAACUCGUUGCUUCUGCUCUCAGCUGGUCGCUGCUCACUGGCAGCUAUACGCGACGGUCACUCCGGUGGUUACUGCUCGAGAAUUCCUGCAACCGUACAACCGUACAACGUUACGGUGCCGAGCAUCAUCUGGGUCAAACAACACGUGCAGACUCGACACGCGAGGAUAGGUCAUCCUCAUAUGGUUUGUCUCGCUAACCUGGUGGGCUGCAAUGGGAAGAACGGCGCCGUCGACGAACGGGGCAAAGCCUGAGGUAAAUCUUGGAGGAUCGAGCCUGACGUCCAAAAGCUGUUCCAGGGAUCGAAGCCGGAGACACGGGGCUAUG